This 227-nucleotide ribosomal RNA is filed under the name uncultured bacterium. RNAcentral describes it as "partial 16S ribosomal RNA". It matches the Rfam family "Bacterial small subunit ribosomal RNA", at positions 103 to 334 of the family's 1533-position model. The record is from RNAcentral.
CGGGUGAGUAAUGUAUGGGGAUCUGCCUGAUGGCGGGGGAUAACUACUGGAAACGGUAGCUAAUACCGCAUAACGUCGCAAGACCAAAGAGGGGGACCUUGGGCCUCUUGCCAUCGGAUGUGCCCAGAUGGGAUUAGCUAGUAGGUGGGGUAACGGCUCACCUAGGCGACGAUCCCUAGCUGGUCUGAGAGGAUGACCAGCCACACUGGAACUGAGACACGGUCCAG